UUGGAGGGCAAGUCUGGUGCCAGCAGCCGCGGUAAUUCCAGCUCCAAUAGCGUAUAUUAAAGUUGUUGCAGUUAAAAAGCUCGUAGUUGAAUUUCGGGGUCAGUAGGUUGGUCGUGCCACCGGUACGUACUGGUCUCACUGAUUCCUCCUUCCUGAUGAGCUGUAAUGCCAUUAACUUGGUGUUGCAGGGAAUCUGGACUGUUACUUUGAAAAAAUUAGAGUGUUUAAAGCAGGCUAACGCUUGAAUACAUUAGCAUGGAAUAAUGAAAUAGGACGUUCGAUCCUAUUUUGUUGGUUUCUAGGAUUGACGUAAUGAUUAAUAGGGAUAGUUGGGGGCAUUAGUAUUCAAUUGUCAGAGGUGAAAUUCUUGGAUUUAUUGAAGACUAACUACUGCGAAAGCAUUUGCCAAGGAUGUUUUCAUUAAUCAAGAACGAAAGUUAGGGGAUCGAAGACGAUCAGAUACCGUCGUAGUCUUAACCAUAAACUAUGCCGACUAGGGAUCGGAUGAUGUUAAUUUUUUAAUGACUCAUUCGGCGCCUUACGGGAAAC
This 549-nucleotide ribosomal RNA is filed under the name uncultured Glomus. RNAcentral describes it as "SSU rRNA". It matches the Rfam family "Eukaryotic small subunit ribosomal RNA", at positions 548 to 1098 of the family's 1831-position model. The record is from RNAcentral. Lineage: Eukaryota; Fungi; Glomeromycota; Glomeromycetes; Glomerales; Glomeraceae.